Molecule: unclassified non-coding RNA, 563 nt
Filed under: Leptopilina victoriae
Lineage: Eukaryota; Metazoa; Arthropoda; Insecta; Hymenoptera; Figitidae
Description: partial ITS2
Source: RNAcentral
AACAUYGACAUUUCGAACGCACAUUGCGGUCCACGGAUACAAUUCCCGGACCACGCCUGGCUGAGGGUCGUUUAUAAUAUAAAAACUGCUUAUCUUUYUUUUCUAAAUACAGAAAAAAUAAAAGAUUUAAGCGAAAUAAUGAAUGUUCAUCAAUACAUUUCUACUUCUUUUUGUAAAAAAAAAGUUUAGAAAACAAUUGGUGUCAUUUGAAACAAGUUGAAUAUAUUUCAGUCACAUUUGAAAGAAAAAAAUACACAAACAACUUAACUAUUGAACGACUAAUUCACGUAUCAAUAUAUAAAAGACACUUGUAAUAUUGAUAAUAUUGUGCAUUUAAAAAUUUCUGUUUGGUUGUGUUGUCAUUGUGUCAAUGAGUAAGUUAUACUUCAGACCGAUGAUUAUCAUUAUGCCAACAGAAUUAAAUGACUUGAAAAAACAAUAAAUAUCAUACAAGAUUUUUCUUUUUUGAACGUUUUGUCUUAUUGAUACAAAUAAGUGAAUUUUGUUGUGUAAUUUUUUUGUGACUAAAAUUUUCUUUAUGACGACCUCAGAUUAGGCGAGAC